RNAcentral lists this ribosomal RNA (429 nucleotides) under Acidobacteriota bacterium. RNAcentral's name for it is "Acidobacteria bacterium partial 16S ribosomal RNA". It matches the Rfam family "Bacterial small subunit ribosomal RNA", at positions 355 to 776 of the family's 1533-position model. Lineage: Bacteria; Pseudomonadati; Acidobacteriota. The record is from RNAcentral.
UGGGGAAUUUUGGACAAUGGGGGAAACCCUGAUCCAGCCAUCCCGCGUGUGCGAUGAAGGCCUUCGGGUUGUAAAGCACUUUUGGCAGGAAAGAAACGUCAUGGGUUAAUACCCCGUGAAACUGACGGUACCUGCAGAAUAAGCACCGGCUAACUACGUGCCAGCAGCCGCGGUAAUACGUAGGGUGCAAGCGUUAAUCGGAAUUACUGGGCGUAAAGCGUGCGCAGGCGGUUCGGAAAGAAAGAUGUGAAAUCCCAGAGCUCAACUUUGGAACUGCAUUUUUAACUACCGGGCUAGAGUGUGUCAGAGGGAGGUGGAAUUCCGCGUGUAGCAGUGAAAUGCGUAGAUAUGCGGAGGAACACCGAUGGCGAAGGCAGCCACAUGGGAUAACACUGACGCUCAUGAACGAAAGCGUGGGGAGCAAACAGG